ACGUAGGGUGCGAGCGUUAAUCGGAAUUACUGGGCGUAAAGCGUGCGCAGGCGGUUUUGUAAGCCAGAUGUGAAAUCCCCGGGCUUAACCUGGGAAUGGCAUUUGGGACUGCAAGGCUGGAGUUUGGCAGAGGAGACUGGAAUUCCUGGUGUAGCAGUGAAAUGCGUAGAUAUCAGGAGGAAUACCGAUGGCGGAGGCAAUCCCCUGGGCCUGCACUGACGCUCAUGCACGAAAGCGUGGGGAGCAAACAGGA
Molecule: ribosomal RNA, 253 nt
Filed under: uncultured prokaryote
Description: partial 16S ribosomal RNA
Rfam family: Bacterial small subunit ribosomal RNA
Source: RNAcentral